AACAGGAGAAAGAACAGCCGAAUGGGAGGAGGAGAAUGGGCGAAAAGGGCGCCAAAGUGACAGGCAGACCGGCAGUGUAAUGGAGGGAGAAAAGGAAGCCCUAGAGCUUAACAAGGAGGUACCAGUAAAGGUAGAGUAGAAUUAAGCCGGACAGAGGGGUCUAGAACCCUGGGGUCAAACAAAAUAUACACAUAAAGUCAAAAUAUAUACAAAUUACCAGCAAUAAUAAACCAGUGAAUGGUAAAAGUUAUCAGCAGUGAAAAAGUCAACAGUGUAGAAAAACAGUAGACAAAAAACCAUAAGGCUAUGAUAGAGUGAAUUAGUCAUGUACUUAUCUGUUUGGUAGCAGCAGAGAAAGAGGAAUUGGAUGGGAAGGUGCUGCCUAUUAUACUGG
Molecule: non-coding RNA, 394 nt
Organism: Pelobates cultripes (western spadefoot toad)
Lineage: Eukaryota; Metazoa; Chordata; Amphibia; Anura; Pelobatidae
Source: the annotation of a GenBank genome assembly